RNAcentral lists this ribosomal RNA (497 nucleotides) under uncultured bacterium. Its description in RNAcentral is "partial 16S ribosomal RNA". It matches the Rfam family "Bacterial small subunit ribosomal RNA", at positions 28 to 507 of the family's 1533-position model. The record is from RNAcentral.
GAUGAACGCUGGCGGCGUGCCUAAUACAUGCAAGUCGAGCGAACGGACGAGAAGCUUGCUUCUCUGAUGUUAGCGGCGGACGGGUGAGUAACACGUGGAUAACCUACCUAUAAGACUGGGAUAAUUUCGGGAAACCGGAGCUAAUACCGGAUAAUAUUUUGAACCGCAUGGUUCAAAAGUGAAAGUCGGUCUUGCUGUCACUUAUAGAUGGAUCCGCGCUGCAUUAGCUAGUUGGUAAGGUAAAGGCUUAUCAAGGCAACGAUGCAUAGCCGACCUGAGAGAGGGAUCGGCCACACGAGAACUGAGACACGGUCCAGACGCCUACGGUAAGCAGCAGAAGGGUAUCUUCCGCAAUGGGCGAAAGCCUUACGGAGCAGCGCCGCGUGAGUGAUGAAGGUCUUCGGAGCGUAAAACUCUGUUAUUAGUGAAGAACAUAUGUGUAAGUAACUGUGCACAUCGUGACGGUACCUAAUCAGAAAGCCACGGCUAACUACGUG